AGAUACUUCGAUUUUCCGGUCGCGCGAGAUUUUUUUUGGUUACCGGAACCGGUAGUAUUCGUGCGGCAGUAUUUAAGCCGAAAGCAGUGGUAAUUUCGUUCCAGUCUGGUUUUGUCUUCAAAAUCAGACACCAAAGGAUAAUCGGAGCCCUUUGUUUGUUCAAGGAUCGGAUAUCAGUUAAUUCUUUGGAUUUAUAUCAGUGCUUUUCUAUCGUCUUCAUGGAGUUCCAGCGUGUUGAGCAUAGGGGUAAGUUGACCAUCCAUAGUUUUUUUAUUAUUCUAAUAAGCAUAGUUAUUUAAGUCAUCCCAAGUACCUUAAUAUCUAAUCUAACUAUUUUUGUUCAUAUUAUCGCAAUAAGUGUUCCACUUUUUUAGUAAAAAUGGACCCACUGCAUCAGGUAUCUUGGCUAGAAAACGAAACUAGCCGCCAUUACUAACCGGAAAUGAUAGAUUCAAUGGUUAUCAAUGGCUGCAUAGCUUUUUUGUUAGAUCGAUUUUUUUAAAAUCCAUCAUCAAGAACAGUUUUAUUUAGUCAUCCGUGAUUUUGAAUAUAAUGUGGGCGUGGCAGGCCUUGAUGUCGAUGUUGUUGACAAUAAGUUUUGAAGGCAUAUGUCCGAGGUGAAGAACUUUUGUAGGAAGAUUACCCGCAGCUGGCACCUAUUUGCACCUUACUUGGAUAAAAAAAUUUCUAUCGAUGCUGCUGGCAAAAAGACACCUAUCCAAGACAGCACUGAACGACCUAGUAUGGUGAAGAAGUUGCGACGUGAAGGUGAUGUUGAGGCUACUGAAAGGCAGGUAACACAGAACAACACUGUGCUUGUUGUUGCAGAAAAGCGGUUAGUCUUUUAAGGGCUUUUUGGCAAGAUGUUGACUGGACCGUGGAUGACACUGAUCUACAAAAUGAAAGAUGAAACAUUUUAAAGAUACCAUUUAUGCAGCUAUUAUAUUUAUUCUCUUGUUUUCUAGAUCUCUCAUGUGAAGGUCUGCAUUGACAAACUAAAGGCCAUUGUGGAUUCUCCAGAGAAUCUCCUUUCAAUACUAAUUGAUUGCUUUGGCCAGACUCUGGAUACUGAAGAUCUCGUUCUGAAAACCCUGAGAAAUGUGACUGUUGAUGAAGUAUUUAUCGAGAUCACUAAAGAACUUGCUGAAGGUUUUUGUAAGGUGCUACAGAGACAGUACUUCAAUUGAUAAUUUCCAACUACAAACAAAUCCAUUAUGUGCUUACCCAUCAAAUAGUUAGAUAUAUUUUAUUUUAAGGGAACAUGUUGCAUAUCUGGGAUAUUUAUUUAAUGUGAAAAAUAUAAUUUCACAAU
Long non-coding RNA from Biomphalaria glabrata, 1312 nucleotides. RefSeq lists it as uncharacterized. The transcript is spliced from 3 exons. Lineage: Eukaryota; Metazoa; Mollusca; Gastropoda; Planorbidae. The record is from RefSeq and is a predicted model, not a curated record.